AAUGAACGCUGGCGGCAUGCCUAACACAUGCAAGUCGAACGAGACCUUCGGGUCUAGUGGCGCACGGGUGCGUAACGCGUGGGAAUCUGCCCUUGGGUUCGGAAUAACAGUUAGAAAUGACUGCUAAUACCGAAUGAUGUCGUAAGACCAAAGAUUUAUCGCCCAGGGAUGAGCCCGCGUAGGAUUAGCUAGUUGGUGGGGUAAAGGCCUACCAAGGCUACGAUCCUUAGCGGUCUGAGAGGAUGAUCAGCCACACUGGGACUGAGACACGGCCCAGACUCCUACGGGAGGCAGCAGUGGGAAUAUUGGACAAU
RNAcentral lists this ribosomal RNA (314 nucleotides) under uncultured bacterium. RNAcentral describes it as "bacterial SSU rRNA". It matches the Rfam family "Bacterial small subunit ribosomal RNA", at positions 29 to 372 of the family's 1533-position model. The record is from RNAcentral.